AGGACGAACGCUGGCGGCGUGCUUAACACAUGCAAGUCGAGCGGAAAGGCCCUUCGGGGUACUCGAGCGGCGAACGGGUGAGUAACACGUGAGUAAUCUGCCCCUAGCUCUGGGAUAGCUCCGGGAAAACCGGGAUUAAUACCGGAUACGACCACUUUAGACAUCUGUUGUGGUGGAAAGAAUUUUGGCUAGGGAUGAGCUCGCGGCCUAUCAGCUUGUUGGUGGGUAACGGCCUACCAAGGCGACGACGGGUA
This 254-nucleotide ribosomal RNA is filed under the name uncultured bacterium. Its description in RNAcentral is "partial small subunit ribosomal RNA". It matches the Rfam family "Bacterial small subunit ribosomal RNA", at positions 26 to 285 of the family's 1533-position model. The record is from RNAcentral.